This 468-nucleotide ribosomal RNA is filed under the name uncultured bacterium. RNAcentral describes it as "partial 16S ribosomal RNA". It matches the Rfam family "Bacterial small subunit ribosomal RNA", at positions 28 to 507 of the family's 1533-position model. The record is from RNAcentral.
GACGAACGCUGGCGGCGUGCUUAACACAUGCAAGUCGAACGGAAAGGCCCUGCUUUUGUGGGGUGCUCGAGUGGCGAACGGGUGAGUAACACGUGAGUAACCUGCCCUUGACUUUGGGAUAACUUCAGGAAACUGGGGCUAAUACCGGAUAGGAGCUCCUGCUGCAUGGGGGGGGUUGGAAAGUUUCGGCGGUUGGGGAUGGACUCGCGGCUUAUCAGCUUGUUGGUGGGGUAGUGGCUUACCAAGGCUUUGACGGGUAGCCGGCCUGAGAGGGUGACCGGCCACAUUGGGACUGCGAUACGGCCCAGACUCCUACGUGAGGCAGCAGUGGGGAAUAUUGCACAAUGGGCGGAAGCCUGAUGCAGCAACGCCGCGUGCGGGAUGACGGCCUUCGGGUUGUAAACCGCUUUCGCCUGUGACGAAGCGCGAGUGACGGUAAUGGGUAAAGAAGCACCGGCUAACUACGUG